Molecule: long non-coding RNA, 945 nt
Filed under: Homo sapiens (human)
Lineage: Eukaryota; Metazoa; Chordata; Mammalia; Primates; Hominidae
Description: HSALNT0077552
Source: RNAcentral
CUUAUCCCUUUGACACAGUUAGAAGACGUAUGAUGAUGCAGAGUGGUGAGGCUAAACGGCAAUAUAAAGGAACCUUAGACUGCUUUGUGAAGAUAUACCAACAUGAAGGAAUCAGUUCCUUUUUUCGUGGCGCCUUCUCCAAUGUUCUUCGCGGUACAGGGGGUGCUUUGGUGUUGGUAUUAUAUGAUAAAAUUAAAGAAUUCUUUCAUAUUGAUAUUGGUGGUAGGUAAUCGGGAGAGUAAAUUAAGAAAUACAUGGAUUUAACUUGUUAAACAUACAAAUUACAUAGCUGCCAUUUGCAUACAUUUUGAUAGUGUUAUUGUCUGUAUUUUGUUAAAGUGCUAGUUCUGCAAUAAAGCAUACAUUUUUUCAAGAAUUUAAAUACUAAAAAUCAGAUAAAUGUGGAUUUUCCUCCCACUUAGACUCAAACACAUUUUAGUGUGAUAUUUCAUUUAUUAUAGGUAGUAUAUUUUAAUUUGUUAGUUUAAAAUUCUUUUUAUGAUUAAAAAUUAAUCAUAUAAUCCUAGAUUAAUGCUGAAAUCUAGGAAAUGAAAGUAGCGUCUUUUAAAUUGCUAUUCAUUUAAUAUACCUGUUUUCCCAUCUUUUGAAGUCAUAUGGUAUGACAUAUUUCUUAAAAGCUUAUCAAUAGAUGUCAUCAUAUGUGUAGGCAGAAAUAAGCUUUGUUCUAUAUCUCUUCUAAGACAGUUGUUAUUACUGUGUAUAAUAUUUACAGUAUCAGCCUUUGAUUAUAGAUGUGAUCAUUUAAAAUUUGAUAAUGACUUUAGUGACAUUAUAAAACUGAAACUGGAAAAUAAAAUGGCUUAUCUGCUGAUGUUUAUCUUUAAAAUAAAUAAAAUCUUGCUAGUGUGAAUAUAUCUUAGAACAAAAGGUAUCCUCUUGAAAAUUAGUUUGUAUAUUUUGUUGACAAUAAAGGAAGCUUAACUG